Molecule: long non-coding RNA, 2264 nt
Filed under: Homo sapiens (human)
Lineage: Eukaryota; Metazoa; Chordata; Mammalia; Primates; Hominidae
Description: non-protein coding NR2F1-AS1:55
Source: RNAcentral
GUCUCAGCUCGAGCAUUCCUAGCGCCAACACGCCCUCAGGUAAAGGUGGAAGUAAAUGGCCACGCUGUAUUGACAGAGCAGGUAGAUGAAACUCAAGAGAAAAGGUGUGGAUAAAUGAAACUAGCCCAUGAUGAACCUGUUUUCUCCGUGACCACAAUAUUAACCAGGAUGAAUGGCGGUGGCAGUGGGCCUGCAUCACAGGUUGCAGCAGAUGUUCUCAAUAUUUCUAUUAAAAUUUCCUUAUUUCCAUAUGCAAGAGGAGCCCCAGAGCUGCAUCCUUAUGGUAGCUACCAUGCCGUGAUGUAAGCUGCCAUUCACUGGGGAGCUUUGGCAAUAGAAUUGGCUAGAUCAGGAAGCCUAUGUCAACUAUGGAACAACAACUUGCAGCUCAUCUCUAUUGAUGAUGGAAUCUCGCUAUGUCACCAGGCUGGAGUGCAGUGGCGCAACCUCGGCUCAGCGCAACAUCCGCCUCCCGGGUUCAAGUGAUUCUCCUACCUCAGCCUCCUGAGUAGCUGGGAUUACAGGUGAAACAGUCGCAAAUGGAAUUCCAAGAAACAUUCUAUAUACACUGCCUCUAGGACUGGGACAGAUAGCCACUGAGUACCUGCUUCAAAUCACCCUGCACGUUUUCUCUUUGGAAAGAUAAGCACUGGAGAACCAUCUCGUUACCUUCAGCAGAAAUGGAAACAAAUCAAGACAUUAAGAAUGCCGCAGUGGACAGCAGUUAUGCAAGGUUCAGCAGAGGAAGUUUUCAAGAUGGUGUGCCUCACUAGCCAGAAAUCAGAAAAGAUCGAAGCUAGCCUUUUCAUCUCAGCUGCUCCUUAAAUCAGUGCAACCCCUCCAAAUUAAUGUGAAUUGAAACUUGCAUUGCUUUUCAACUUAAUUGAAUACUUACUAUAUGUGAACCACUGCACAAAAUAGGGGAAGAAGAUGUGGGAGACAAAGAUGUGGAGCCUGUCUUCAAUAAAUUUACAGUUAGUUUCAGGGUACAUUGUUUUUCUUCUGCUGUUAAUUAGGUGUAUCCCCAAGACAAUAAAUACAUGAAUGGAAAAGUAUAUUCUGUGUUUUAAGUCUCUUUAAUAAAAAACAAAACAAAAUCCAAAAAAACUCCUAACAUGGCAACUCAGGACAUUUUAAUCCUUUUUUUUGUUGUUGGGCUUCUGAUAGGAUCCAUUUUAUUGAUUCCAUAAAUAUUUAGUAGACUUUAGACAUAUUAAUACAUUGUAGUUUGAGUUAAUUUGCAUUAAAUUCUGUUUUUUUCCCCUUAGGUAUAGAUUGUCUGUUGGAAAAAUAUAUUGCUUGUGGAUUUCUUGGGGAGUGGGAAGGUGAAUUAUACCUGUUGUCUCUACAGUCCACUACCUUCCACACCCUAGGGCAGUGGUCCCCAACCUUCUUGGCACCAGGGAUCAGUUUCCUGGAAGACAAUUUUUCUGUGGAUGGUGUGGGGAUGGUUUUGGGAUGGAACUGUUCCACCUCAGAUCAUCAGGCAUUAGUUAGGCUCUCAUAACGAGUGCGCAGCCUAGAUCCCUCACAUGCACAGUUCACAGUAGGGUUUGCGCUGCUAUGAGAAUCUAAGGCUGCCACUGAUCUGACAGGAGGCAGAACUCAGGUGGCAAUGCUUACUGGCCCACUGCUCACCUCUUGCUGUGCGGCCUGGUUCCUAAUAGGCCAUGGACCCCCACAGACGGGUACUAGUCUGCAGCCUGUGGACCCCAGCCCUAGGGGCCUGCCAUUCUGAGUGAGUUAUUAGCAUGAAGAAGAGGAAGAUCUGGAUCAAACGUGGGUGAUGGUACUCAGAGACCCAAGAUAGGAUAGGGAUGGAACAAAAUCCAUCUGGGCAACGGCUCUAUGAAAAUUUGGCUAAGUAAUUAUUUCAGUAUUCAUUGUAUUCAUUGUCCUUCGUGUUCCAUAAGUUAAAUGACUGUCUAAUUUUUCCAAAAAUUUAUUUCUGACUUGAGAAUAAGUGUGUCAUGAUUUUCCCAGUGUAAAGACACUGAUAUAACUGUAGAUACCAGACAUUUUAUGUAGUGUCUAUGACACAUUUUAGUAUGUAUGAGCCAACAAUAGACAUGUCUUUGUCUUGAGGAGUGUCCAUCUGAAUUGAAAAUGUGUCAGCUUUUUUUUAACAUCAUCAACAGACUUCUUAAUUAAGCUGCCAAUACAUACUGCCAAUAGCACUGUGUGCUGUCUGAGAAAUGCAUUGUGUAAGUGCUAUUUCCAUCUUAUUAAAUAAACAAUGUUGCUCUGUAUAAACUGGAUUUAAA